UAUUGGCUAUUUAAAUACAAAAUGACCAAAAAUAGUAUCUAUGAUGAUAGGAGUCCCUAAAUAUUUGCAUAAAUACCCAUCACUCCGUGUCAAAUUGUAACUGAGGCUGCGAAAAGGAAGCACACAAAUCGACGCCAUUUUUCAACAGAUUAAGGUUUCUGAGCUCACGAAAUCCUAGUAUUAUUACUUUUAAUGAUAACAAUAGGAAUAAGAAGAGCAGGAUUUCUAUAUUGAGGAUUUACAUGUAUGGGACAGAGGACUAUUUGACUUGAUUUUACUUUAAAAAAACUUUUUAAUUUUAACAAUAGUUCUCCUUAAAUGAUUAAAAUACUUUAUACAUAUUUUUCAUUUUAACAUUAUUUUUAUGACUUUGUAUUUAUUCAUCAUUUAAUAAACUUUUAUUUCUAAA
This is a long non-coding RNA of Mytilus trossulus (common blue mussel), 409 nucleotides long. RefSeq lists it as uncharacterized. The record is from RefSeq and is a predicted model, not a curated record. The transcript is spliced from 2 exons. Lineage: Eukaryota; Metazoa; Mollusca; Bivalvia; Mytilida; Mytilidae.